Molecule: long non-coding RNA, 3554 nt
Organism: Oncorhynchus keta (chum salmon)
Lineage: Eukaryota; Metazoa; Chordata; Actinopteri; Salmoniformes; Salmonidae
Exons: 2
Source: RefSeq, a predicted model, not a curated record
UUGUAAAUAAUAAUACAAUAUGUUUCUUAACAUUUCUACAUUAAUGUGAAUGCUACCAUGACUAUGGAUAAUCCUGAAUGAAUUGUGAACAAUGAUGAGUGAGAAAGUGACAGAGGCAUAAAUAUCAUGCUCCCCCCCAAAAAUGCUGACCUCCCCUGUUUGUCACGCCCUGACCUUAGAGAGCCUUGUUUAUUCUCUAUUUGGUUAGGUCAGGGUGUGACUUGGGUGGGAAAAUCUGUUUCUAUUUCUUUGUUGGCCGACUAUGGUUCCCAAUCAGAGGCAGCUGUUUAUCGUUGUCUCUGAUUGGGGAUCAUACUUAGGCAGCCUUUUUCCCACCUUAGAUUUUGGGAUCUUGUUUGUGUGUAGUUGCUUUCUGCACUGCAUGAAACAGUACGUUAGGUUUCUGAGUUUUUUCCCAGUGUCAUUUUUUAAAAAAAAUGUACGGAUACCACGCUGCACCUUGGUCCAAUCCAUCUUUAAACGAACGUGACACUGUUAUUGUAAUGGUGAGAGGUGAGAAUGUCUUGGGGGUAUAAUGUUCAAGCUGGAUGUAAUCAUUGACUUUAAUACACAUAUAAGUGAAUUUGUUCCAGUCCUUUUGGUCCCCUAAAAUGGGGCGACUUUGUACAAAAAGUGAUGUAAUUUCUAAACGGUUCAAACCUCAAAUUAAAGCUGACAGUCAGUCAUUGUAUUAUUUAAAAUCCAAAGUGGUGGAGAACAGAGUCAAAACAACAAAACAUGUGUCACUGUCACAAUACUUUAGGACCUCACUGUAGCUAAAAUCAGAGCUGCUGUGAUGCCACUGUUAGGACUGAUUGUUGUGCUGUGAGAGCAAUAUGACAUUUCCCACUGGGCACACACUGGUUGAAUCAACAUUCUUUCCAUGUCAUUUCAAUGAAGUGUGACCAGUACGUUGAUACAUCCAUCCACAAUUGUGUAAUGCAACUGUCAAAUCUGACUUGACACAUUUGGUGUCCCUGUAGUUAUCCAGUGCAAAAGUUGAGCAUGUCCUCAAUCGGGAGAAGGUUCUUCAAUACACCUCUGCCUGCCUGGCUCUGGGGUAUGGAUGUGCUGCCUCCUGCUGGGGCUGCUACACUAGUGCAGAAUAGACAGCAUGGUAAAUGAACAAAAGUGAUCAAAAGAAAGGUUUGCACUAGAGGUUUCAUUGCAUGGAAUGUCUGGAUGAAAAAUACAUGGCUAUACAUAUUUUUUGUUUGGCACAGAGUGAAUGGAAGCCUGUAGGCUACUGGUGAUCGGCUUAAGUGGAAAAUAAACCACUAUGAAAUUCAACUACAGGGAUAAAUACUAUGACACAUUAAAAAAACUCCAUCCCAAUGUUGGCUACAUUGUUACAGUUGUCUCUGGUGGAAGAUCUGCUCUCUACCGUGAUGUAGCUUACUGGCUAUUAAGUUGAUCUUUGCAACCACAUGCUGAGAUAACAGGCAGGCUAGCUAGCUAUACCUUGGCUGAAUGGACGGACUUGUUUUGCUAGUGCAAAAAUGGCCAGUACGAAUAGGCAACCUUAAAUACAUAACAUUGCAACAAAUUACUGACGACAUCGUAGCAACCGGAGCAGAGGCAGGAGGGUCAAAGGUCAGAAGGCAUCAACAUCCUGGGUCAUCCUAAACCAGUGGGCUCAGGAAACAGUAUCAUAGUCAGCCCCAAACAGGGAAGAGUGAUGAACGUUGAAAAAGCUACAGUUAAAAAAUGCUGUGUCUUGUUACAUGAUUGGCAUUUACACGUUAUGCCUUAGUAGCAUUCUUACCAACAAAAUCAUUGAAUUGAAAGUCUGUGUUCAGGAAGACUUAAACUAAUAUUUUGGGCUCCCGAGUGGCGCAGCGGUCUAAGGCACUGCAUCUCAGUGCAAGAGGUGUCACUACAGUCCCUGGUUCGAUGACUGGCUGUAUCACACCCGGCCGUGAUUGGGAGUUCCAUAGGGUGGAGCACAAUUGGCCCAGGGUCGUCCGGGUUUGGCCGGGGUAAGCCGCCAUUGUAAAUAAGAAUUUGUUCUUAGCUGACCUGCCUAGUUUAAUAAAAUAAAUAGUGUAAGCAACCUCAGCAUUGUUGUGUUACUAAUGUCUUCCUAUCCUUGCUGUUACAUCCUUUGCAGAGAGGAAAUCCUACUCUGAAGUUUGAGAUGUGCCAUGAGAGUUUGGAGAAGUGGCUCCUGAAUAUGUCCUGCGACAGACUACCUGUGCUCUCAUCCUCAGGGUGAAGUUCCUCUCCCCAAAUCCUAACCUUAAGCGUAAUUGAGGAAAAUGCAAGACUGACCCAAGAUCAGCAUCUAGGGGCAACUUCAACCUACACCCCAUCCUCCUGAGGCUGCGAAACACCCAAGAUCAGCAUCUAGGGGCAACUUCACCCUACACCCCAUCCUCCUGAGGCUGUGAAACACCCAAGAUCAGCAUCUAGGGGCAACUUCACCCUACACCCCAUCCUCCUGAGGCUGUGAAACACCCAAGAUCAGCAUCUAGGGGCAACUUCACCCUACACCCCAUCCUCCUGAGGCUGUGAAACACCCAAGAUCAGCAUCUAGGGGCAACUUCACCCUACACCCCAUCCUCCUGAGGCUGUGAAACACCCAAGAUCAGCAUCUAGGGGCAACUUCACCCUACACCCCAUCCUCCUGAGGCUGUGAAACACCCAAACAAAAAGGAUGAAAUCUGAAAAGUCAGGAGACACACUCCGGCUGCUUUCAGACCCUGCUCUGACCAGAUAUACAAAGUUAUCAAAUUACAUUAGGUACAGGCAGUUGUUUCCAUGCCAUUUCAACCAUAAAAACUGAUUGUAUUUGCCAAGUCAUCAACAUAAAAGGGAUUCCAGGAACGUUUCUUGUUUUUUUCACCCAACUGUUUAACCUAAAUCCAAUGACAUGGUUCAAGUUGUAAAACAACGAAGUCAACAACUCAAAUGUAAAUCAAAUCUUGACGUUGAACUGACGUCUAUGCCCAGUGGGAGCGCACAUCAAUGGACUGACCAUCUGCCUAUCGGUUCCUAGGACACAUUCUCUACACUUUAAAAUCAUGGCUUUUACCCAGAGACACCUAUGAAUGUGUACAUUGUUGCUCGACUGAAUACGAGCCAGUUAACUGUAUCUGACAGAAUUAUAUAAAUAGUUUUUUUUUUGUGUGUCCCGAGUGACUUGAAUAAAAGAUUUAAUCUAAUAUUUGUUCCUGCACAUUUGAAAUGGUGAUUCAUAGCACACGGCCAUAGUUUACGGCAGGGUUGCAAACGCACCUUGUGCUCUUACCCUCAGUUGUUUUCAUAGACUGAUUUCCCCAGCGGUCAAACUCCUAGACAGAAUAUCAACAAGCAUUAAGGAUGGUGUCCUAGCCAAAAAGGUGUAAGACUAGGUAUUAUGACCCAUACAAGAUACCACAGGAAGCAUCCCAUGCUUACACCCAGAAAACACCUUCAGUCCUGGAUUAAUUUUGUCAAAAUGUUACAUUUGUAUUCAGAAUUCUGUGUUCUUAUAACAAUUAAUAUUGGAAAAUAAAUUGAAACACAUCCUUACUAUGUCAUAAUAUGGGUAAUCCUGAAUGAAUCGUGAAUAA